This 574-nucleotide ribosomal RNA is filed under the name uncultured organism. RNAcentral's name for it is "bacterial SSU rRNA". It matches the Rfam family "Bacterial small subunit ribosomal RNA", at positions 82 to 631 of the family's 1533-position model. The record is from RNAcentral.
UUUGGCGAGUAGAGUGGCGCACGGGUGAGUAACGCGUGGGUAAUCUGCCUUGGAACCGGGGAGAACGGGUCGAAAGGGGUGCUAAUACCGGAUGACAUCCAGGUGUCUUCGGGCGCCUGGAUCAAAGAUGGCCUCUCCAUGGAAGCUGUUGUUCGAAGAUGAGCCCGCGUACCAUUAGCUUGUUGGUGGGGUAAAGGCCCACCAAGGCGACGAUGGGUAGCUGGUCUGAGAGGAUGAUCAGCCACACUGGCACGUGACACACGGGCCAGACUCCUACGGGAGGCAGCAGUGAGGAAUUUUGCGCAAUGGGGGUAACCCUGACGCAGCAACGCCGCGUGAGUGAAGAAGGCCUUCGGGUCGUAAAGCUCUGUCGAGUGGGAAGAACCCGCAUCAGGUGACAAGGCUGAUGCGCUGACGGUACCACUGGAGGAAGCACCGGCUAACUCCGUGCCAGCAGCCGCGGUAAUACGGAGGGUGCAAGCGUUAUUCGGAAUUACUGGGCGUAAAGGGCGCGCAGGCGGACUGGUAAGUCAGUAGUGAAAGCCCGGGGCUCAACCCCGGAAGUGCUGCUGAA